AUGGCCCGUCCCUCCCCCUCUGACGUGCGCGCUGUUUUCUCAUCGCAGGCGGACGUUGAUGUUGACCCCGAGGUGGCGGCCGCCGGUCCCAAGAAGAGGACAUUCCGCAAGUUCAGCUACCGUUGCGUGGACCUUGACGCUCUCCUCGACAUGUCCAGCGAGGACCUGGUCGGCCUCUUCCCUGUCCGCGCCCGCAGAAGGUUCUCGAGGAGUCUGAAGAGGAAGCCGAUGGCCCUUGUCAAGAAGCUGCGCAAGGCGGUGAGUGAUGGUUCGCUUAAUACACUUGUAGUUGAACGCCCAAAUAGUGAACUACCUAUUUCUGUAUAG
This 327-nucleotide ribosomal RNA is filed under the name Triticum aestivum (bread wheat). Its description in RNAcentral is "partial small subunit ribosomal RNA". The record is from RNAcentral. Lineage: Eukaryota; Viridiplantae; Streptophyta; Magnoliopsida; Poales; Poaceae.